GCUUUUAGCAUAGAUAAGAAACCCAACAAUUGAUAAUAGAAGCAUAUGCAAACAUAUAAAUAAAACAAGAAUUUAAAUAUAAGAGAGUUUGAAAAGAUUACAUUUUUCCCAACUAUAAAGAGUUUAGUUCACCAUAGACAUGGUGAAACUAGAUGGAAUUAAUGGAAAAGAUGAAAGAGUAAACCCUAGAUUUGAUAAAUUGGAGCCUAGGCAUCCAAGAAGCCGUCUCCAAGGAGUGUAGAAUAGCUCUGUGAUGGGUGUCGCACCCCAUACAAAUUUAAUUUGCAAAUUAGGAUUGUAGUAUAACUAGGAAGUGACUCCUAGGUCAUCUCUCAAGGACCAAAUGCGGUUCGAGUCUUAGGUCUAACAUGUAGUGGGGGGGGGGGUUGAAAGUGUUCUUGCAAGGAAAAUAAAAUUAAAGUAAAACUAGAAAUUAAAUACAACCAAACAUAAUUGAAAACAUUAAAAUAACUGAACAAAGCAUGAAGACCGAAUGGUCCUACAAAUGUGUAUUAAUUAAAAUGCGAUAGAUAAUAAAGAAUAAAAAAAAACUCUUGUUUAAAAAUGAAAUGCACAAUGCAGCGAGAAUAAAAGAAAAUAUGAAACCUUAAGCUAAACAUGGAAGUGCACAUUAUAGUCAUCCACCAAUGCUUAUAAAUCCCGGGAAUCACAAACUAAAAUAUGCUAAUAGUAAAAUAAAAUGAACUAAAUUGCAGAAUGUAAUUUCAAAUUCAAUAAUAUUAAAAUGAGUUUCAAUGCAAGCUGAAGCUAAAUCAAAUUAAAUGCAAAGAUGCAAGACAAAAUAAAUCCAAAAUGGGCAGUGUAUUCCUAAUUGAAGGUUAUGAAUACCAUAAAGUGCUGCUGGAAUAAAAAAAAUAAAGAACCAAAGCCCAAAAAAAAUUGCUGAAAACACCGUGCUACUUCCUCCAAUGUUGGACAACAUCUUCCAAUUUCCAAAGGUUGAAGAAAAAAAAACUCUUCCGUGAGCAGCUGCUUCCCAAGAUAAAAGUGAAUGCACUGUGAAAGAAUUCCAGUCUUGCACGUCACUUAUUAUAUAUGAAAGCAAAAUAAAAAUUGUUGCACCUAUUCUAAUCUAACGGAAAACAAUAUAAAAAGGAAACUAGCAAAAAAGUGUGGCAGCUGGUUCAUUCUUUAGUAAAUCAUCAUCGUCACCUCAUGCUUCCAAAAAUAGCGUUCCAACACUUCUCAAAGUGUGUGGCUGCCUCCUUUCAAGUAAAUAAAACUGCAUGAUGUGUGCUUCAUAAAUGACCGUGCAUAUGCUUAAAAUAAAAAUGAACUUUUUAUGAAGAAAACUAAUUUUUGCUUCCGUGCUUAAAUGAAAAACAAUCAGCUGUGUGCCCUCCAAAAUGUAUGAAUUAGCGCUUCUUCUAGCAAAAUGGAGAUAACCUUUUUCUAAUUGAAAGCAACAUUCCUUUUCUCCAAACCCAACGAGAGAGAAAAAUAAUGUAAUAGUGUGCACAAGUAAAAACCUUGAAUCAGAAUGCUUCCAAGAUGUUUCAGCAACAACAACAACGUUGAACAGAAUAAAAAGAAAUUGGAAAAAGUGCUUCUUCCUUCACCCAUAAUCAUCAAGUGUAAAUAUGGUUCCAAAGAAAAUUGCUAUGUAAAAAAAACAUUCAAUAAAAUAUCGACUCAUCAAAAUAGACCACACUUAGUCUUUUGCACUCCUGGGCAAAAUCAAGACGCAAAUCAGGGAACAGUUCAACAGACAUUAGGGAAUUGACACAGACUCAGCACACAAAAAAAAAAGACUUACUAGGAAAGAAACAAACAGAAUUACACAGUCCUCAAGAAAUCUGGACUAAGAAAAUAAGUAGACAUCAUUCACACAGAAUCAAAGAAAGCAGAUACUUAGAGAAAUCAUCCAAGCAAUUCAAAGCAUGGCAAAAUGAUCAAUCAGCUUAAGAGGUGAAUCAAAAGCAACAGAACCUCACAAAUGCACACUAUCAGUGUUUCUCUCAAGUGUCUAAGGUAAACAAUGUCAACUCAAUGCACUCAAGAAAACAAGCAACAAACAGUCUUGGCAAGCCUCUAAUAUCAACACUAAAAAACAUAUGCAUGUUAAAAUCAAAAGGUCUUUUAUGGAUGGAAUGGGGCCAAGGACAAGGGAGGAUAAAUAUGGAUGAGAAGUUACUAACCAAAAGAAAUAGAGGAGCAAUGAGGAAAAAUUGUAAACACAUUCAAACACACCCAAAACCUUUAAUUCAAUCCUCUUCUUGACUCUUGCAUUCACAAUUUUUUUUUAUUUUUCUUAUUUUUCUCUGUUUUUUUUCAUCUUGUCUCUUUGGUUUUCUCUCUAUUUAGGACACAACUCUAAGAGACAAGAUACACAACAUAUUUACAAAAACAAAAGCAAGAAGAGGAACCAACUAGCCAAUUCUCUGAAUCUCCCAGGAGANNNNNNNNNNNNNNNNNNNNNNNNNNNNNNNNNNNNNNNNNNNNNNNNNNNNNNNNNNNNNNNNNNNNNNNNNNNNNNNNNNNNNNNNNNNNNNNNNNNNNNNNNNNNNNNNNNNNNNNNNNNNNNNNNNNNNNNNNNNNNNNNNNNNNNNNNNNNNNNNNNNNNNNNNNNNNNNNNNNNNNNNNNNNNNNNNNNNNNNNNNNNNNNNNNNNNNNNNNNNNNNNNNNNNNAUAGGCUCAAAGGGGCUAUCAAAGGAUCACAACAAGGUAGGCUCAUCUGGCUAGAGAGGCUCAACAACAAAACUGCCUUUAUCACUUCCAAACAUGCAUAUUAAUCAAGAAACAUCAAAAAGAGUCAAGCCAAGGCAUAUGUGCAAGCAAUCAAGAGACAUAUCACACACAAGAAAGAUAUCAAGUGGCUCAAAUUCUCACACAGGGUAUUUCUGUCAUAAUCAAAUCAACCUCUCAAACAUUAUAAUCAUGUUCCAAGCAGAGAAAAGCAAGGAUUUCAAACCAAUUAGAGUAUCAAUGAAGUGAAGGGAAAACUGACAACCUAAACAAAGUCCAAAUAUCAAGGGGAACAGGUAAAACUUUACACAAGACACAACAAAAACUACUUAGAAAACAAAAAAUUUAACGCAGAAAACAUAAACUAACAACGAAAAAUCAGAAUCUCCCCCAAUAGACCACACUUAAACUACACAGUGUCCUCAAUGUGUCACAAGCAUAAGAUCAGAAAUCAGAAUAUUCAACAAAUCAUGGACAAGUGCAAUAAAAGCAGGAAAGGGGGGAGAAGGGAAAAGAAAAACUCCCCAAGUCAUGGUGGCAGUUGCCAAUUUUGGACUUUGAGGGAGAUCUGUUCCACCAUAGGAUUCAACAAGGAAGUGUUGAAGAGGAAUUGCUUCAGUCUCCAAAUUUGAUCAAGUAGGGAGAUGUCCUCCACAGCUGGAUCUAAGAAGAAGUGAUUGUUGAUGAGUGGGUUCAGCUGAUGCCUAUUAAUCUUCAAACUGUCGGUACCUUUGUCUUCCACCAUGGGUGUGUGUUGGUCAAAUUCAUAUGUACCUCGUACAACAUGGUUAGUGCAAUAUGGUUCCACAAAAAUAACAUGCAGGGGUAUAACACCCAAUCCCAGUGUAACAGCUGAACCGCAAAUAAACCCUCUGAACAUGAAUCAAUUUCAAAUGUAGAAACAAUAUCAAAAACAGUCUCAGAUUCAUGUUCAGUGCAUGGAGAGCAAACAUUCAAAUGUGAUAUCAAACAGUGGUUCUCAUCUUGCAGAGAGGUAGAAUUAAAAUAGUGCUCAUCAGCAAUGUAAUCAUCAACAUACCCAUCAUCAGCAUAAUCAUCAACAACAGAUUCUAUCUCAGGUAUGUUUACCUUCACUUCCCUAGAUGUGGCUAAAGUGGUGGAAGGUGAAGCUGGUCUACCUAUCUCAAAAGUGGUGCUCAUAUAUACCUGUGCCUCCAAUUCUUCAUCAGUCUCCUCAGGUGCAAGAAUGGGGACAUAGGAGGGUGGGAAAGUAGAUGGCACAAUAGUAAGCUCAUGAAUCUGCUCCCUAUCUCCUAUGUGGAUGGCACCAACAUCAUCUGGAAGCUGAUCAUCCUGAAACGAUGAUUCCUCUGAAACAUAAGAUUGUUCGUCAGUGAGCUGAGUGGCCAUCUGCCCUAACUGAUCAGUCAAACUCUGCAUGAAAGCUAUGGUGUAUUGAUGGAACUGCUGAAUCUGCAUAAUCUGAGUUUUGGUUUCCUGCUGAAACUGCAUAUUCUGAGCAGUCAUCUGUCUCAACAACUCCUUCAAUGUAGACUCAGAAGUAGAAGGUUGAGGAGCCGAUUGGGUAGGCUCAUGAAACUGUAGUUGCUGUGGUUCAUGGACAGGUGGAGAAGGCAUACAAGGAGUCUGGAAAGGCAGUUCUUGAUAUUGGUGCUGUGGAGUACCAUGCCAUCCCAUGUUAGGAUCAGUCCACCCAAGACAAUUGCUAUAACCAUACCGCACAUGGGAGAAUUUGUUAAGAAACUGAUGCUCAAGAUCUUCCCAACUGGUGACGGAUCCUGGAGUAAGACAAAAACACCAAUCCUUUGCUGCUCCGUGUAAUGAGUACUCAAAUGCCCUUAAGAACAUGUCCUCAUCUGGGACAUCUGGAGGUUUCAUUGAAGAGCAUAUGUUGUAGAACUCCUCCAAAUGUCUAUAUGGGCAUUCACCUGCAAAACCAUGGAACUUAGGCAGCCAAUGUAUCAGUCCAGUAUUGAAAACACAACGAAUAUCCUCCUCAUCAAGUGGAAACGACUCUCUAGGAGCACUCUCAUGAGACGGAGGAGGAAUCGUACUGUUCUCAACAUAGAAAUCAGCAGAAUAUGCAAUAGAAGCAAUAUCAGAGUCAGAUGCAGAAGGAUAAUCAUAAUCAUAGACACAGGCAGAAUAAGCAUUUCUCUUAUAACCAAAACAUGUAGACAUGUAGAAGGGGGGAAAGGAAGAAGGUAAUGAAAAUAUGAAACUAAAGUUACCUAAAUGCAACACACAAUGACGAACACACAAAACAGAACAUCACACAUCACAACACAAGACAAGACAACACACACUAACACAAUAAAAGACCUAAAACCGAUCUGUUGGUCCCCGGCAACGGCGCCAAAAUUUGAUGGGUGUCGCACCCCAUACAAAUUUAAUGUGCAAAUUAGGAAUGCAGUAUAACUAGGAAGUGACUCCUAGGUCAUUUCUCAAGGACCAAAUGCGGUUCGAGUCUUAGGUCUAACAUGUAGUGGGGGGGGGGGUUUGAAAGUGUUCUUGCAAGGAAAAUAAAAUUAAAGUAAAACUAGAAAUUAAAUACAACCAAACAUAAUUGAAAACAUUAAAAUAACUGAACAAAGCAUGAAGACCGAACGAUCCUACAGAUGUGUAUUAAUUAAAAUGCGGCAGAUAAUAAAAAUUAAAAUAAAAAACUCUUGUCUAAAAAGGAAAUGCACAAUGCAGCGAGAAUAAAAGAAAAUAUGCAACCUUAAGCUAAACAUGGAAGUGCACAUUAUAUUUAUCCACCAACGCUUAUAAAUCCCGGGAAUCACAAACUAAAAUAUGCUAAUAGUAAAAUAAAAUCAGCUAAAUUGCUGAAUGUAAUUUCAAAUUCAAUAAUAUUAAAAUGAGUUUCAAUGCAAGCUGAGGUUAAAUCAAAUUAAAUACAAAGAUGCAAAACAAAAUAAGUCCAAAAUGGACGGUGUAUUCCUAAUUGAAGGUUAUGAAUACCAUAAAGUACUGCUAGAAUAAAAAAAAU
This 5680-nucleotide long non-coding RNA is filed under the name Vigna radiata. RNAcentral's name for it is "long non-coding RNA (VRAD_LNC006655)". The record is from RNAcentral. Lineage: Eukaryota; Viridiplantae; Streptophyta; Magnoliopsida; Fabales; Fabaceae.